This 95-nucleotide transfer RNA is filed under the name uncultured Conexibacteraceae bacterium. RNAcentral's name for it is "tRNA-???(gc)". Lineage: Bacteria; Bacillati; Actinomycetota; Thermoleophilia; Solirubrobacterales; Conexibacteraceae. The record is from RNAcentral.
UCGUCGCCGAGGUCCUGCCGGGGCGCCGGGUCGCUGCGGCGGCCGGGGCGCUGGCGGUCGCCUUCCAGCCGAUGUUCGGGUUCAUCAGCGGCGGC